GAUGACGUUUACUUGAGUUAGAAGUGUCAAUUGGGCUGUCCAAAGUCCAAUGGUCAUGUCCACUUGGAACAUUUUUU
RNAcentral lists this small RNA (77 nucleotides) under Arabidopsis thaliana (thale cress). RNAcentral's name for it is "ATSL023710". The record is from RNAcentral. Lineage: Eukaryota; Viridiplantae; Streptophyta; Magnoliopsida; Brassicales; Brassicaceae.